Molecule: long non-coding RNA, 2201 nt
Organism: Chelonia mydas (Green sea turtle)
Lineage: Eukaryota; Metazoa; Chordata; Testudines; Cheloniidae
Exons: 3
Source: RefSeq, a predicted model, not a curated record
CUGAGGAGUACAAGCGUGAUCAGGCUUCAGAAAGAAGAUCCUGUGCCUACUGUGUCUCUGCCACAACCCUGAAGACCUAUCUUACAGGAUUUUCUUCACAGCCCAUCAAUGGUACUACUCAGCCUCCUGGGGCCAAAUCCUCAGGGGCCCUCACUCAUACAGAAGUGAGCUGUGGGAUGGUUUGGCCAAUCCAGAGGCUAGGCUGAUUGGCCUUGUGAAGGGUGAAAGAUGGCUUCUCAGACCCUCUGUAGACAGGGAACAAGGAACUCUGCUGGGCCCCUGCAGAGCGUGGUCCUUCUCUCCUACAUGCAGUGAAGGUGGAGGUUAUUGCUGCUGGGAGCCUCUGGGGAGCAGCUUGUGGGAGAUAUGGCGUGGGAGUCCAAGGAUCUGGCACUCAGAAACAGCCCGUCAGGAACAGGAGUGCAAGGGGAAAGGUUGGAAGAAUAGUCCAUGUGGCUUGUACAGCCCCAAACACUUCCUUUCCUCUGGGUGGUGGGCAUCUCCAGACCUGAUGGGGCACUGUGCCGGCUGACAGAGCCAGCUCUGAUGCUGUGUGAGACAGCUGACAGAACAGCUGUGCAGCCCCCUUAUGUCUCCUCAAGUGUCACUCAUUCAGGGAGCCGCAAACACUACCCCAUGCUGGCAUCAGGCUCCCCAGUGACUCCUGCCACCACCUCUGGCAGUGUGGUGCAGUGGAGUUAAGGCCUCCCCUCCCCUGGGGGAAAGGUCAUGGCUGGGCAGCCUCAGAACAUCUCUCGUGCUGACACGGCCACAGUGAGCCUAUCCCCCCAGAAUUUGCAUACCAUGCCUUGGGUGUGGAUCUCAGCUGAUCCACAGAGCUGUGAUUGCUCACCUUUGGAGCAGCAGAGUCAGGAUUGGUCUUCUAGAGCGGGUCAAUGUUGAGCAGUGAUUAAAAUAAUUGGAAACAGGUGCGUGAGCUCUGAUCGCACCAGCCAAAGUGGAGGAGGAGCGGUGGGGGAGUAUUGCUCUCCCAAGCCAGGGUAAGGAAGCCAUGCCCCACCUCCCAAGGCCUUUAUCCCCUGCUGUUGAGUAACACCAAGUAUUUCCAAUCCUACCCCCACCUCAAGGCCCACGUCUGCAGCUCUCCUGCUUUGAAGAGCUAUGCCUGAUUCUUAUCCUAUUGCAAAUGCAGCCCAUGACCUGUAUUAAGCAGGUGUAACAGCAAGCCAGCUGUUGGGAAGAACAAAAGAAGCGGCUUGCCAGUGUCCAGAUUCAGGCAUCUGUUACAAAUGCUUGUAGAACUGUAAAGGGUCUGAUUUGUUUUUAAGUGAAUAAAUAAAAAGGUCUUUUCCCCAUUCCAGAAGAAACAAGGAUCAUACCAUAUUCACUUCAGCCCUGCACAGAAAUAAUGGUGAAAAUCUCAGUCUCAAGAACAGAAACUUCAGCAAUGAACCGCUGAAGCUGUUGUCCACAUAAUUAGGUGAACCUUAGAGAAAAUGUAACAUACAAACUGAGCUCAAAGCGGGAGAUUACGCAUUAUUCAAAAAUGAGAGAGAGAAAGAGAGAGAGAUAAGCCUAAAAUACACUCCUGAGAAAGGACUGAAUAAAGACUGCAGGAUUUGGCCCCUGAUGUCUACAAUGCUCUUCCUAUAUACACAUAAACUCCCAUUGAUAGGAGUGGACGAUUUUAUCCACAGAUGCACGGGGAUUGACUCUGUAACUUUCACUCAUGCUGGCAAGCACUUACACAAGAAAUCCCACAGAUACUUUAAUUUCUCAUGCUUUCUCAGAAUAACCCUUUGUAAACCUUACACUGAAAUCUGAUUCCUCAGCAAAAUUUUCUUUCCUCCACCACGCAUCCAGGCUGCUUGAUUAUUGGCGGAUAUUGCUCCUGGGGACUGGGAUUCUGCCAUUUGGGGGAAUUUUUUUGAUUAGAUAAAAUAAUCAUUGACAUUAGAAAAGAAAUCUCUCAUAUAAAGAAUUACAUGGACUUUGCAAACCAACCGAAGGAAUAGAAGACAAGUCGGGUUUUGGGAUAACAGAUCUGGGACUUGAUUUUUUGUAAAUUAUGCAAGCGGUAUUGGUGCAUGUGCUUAGAAUCUGAUGCAAUUCCCAUUGGAGUCAAUGAAAAAAGGCUUUCACUGACUUCAGUUGAACUGGACCAGACCCUAUUGCAUGUGCACUUACAGUGCAAAGAUUUGUGCAAGCGCACGGCCAGACAGGUUCCUAUCAAGCCGCAU